This 626-nucleotide ribosomal RNA is filed under the name Hepatozoon felis. RNAcentral's name for it is "bacterial SSU rRNA". It matches the Rfam family "Eukaryotic small subunit ribosomal RNA", at positions 188 to 801 of the family's 1831-position model. The record is from RNAcentral. Lineage: Eukaryota; Apicomplexa; Hepatozoidae.
UAUUUUGGAAGAGAUGCAUUUAUUAGAUAAAAAACCAAUACAUACUUUUUCAAGUAUGAAAUUUGGUGAUUUACAAUAACUUAGCAAAUCGCAUAGUGAAAACAGGCGAUAAAUCAUUCAAGUUUCUGACCUAUCAGCUUUCGACGGUAUGGUAUUGGCUUACCGUGGCAGUGACGGUUAACGGGGGAUUAGGGUUCGAUUCCGGAGAGGGAGCCUGAGAAACGGCUACCACAUCUAAGGAAGGCAGCAGGCGCGCAAAUUACCCAAUUCUAACAACAUAAGAGAGGUAGUGACAAGAAAUAACAAUACAAGGCAGUUAAAAUGCUUUGUAAUUGGAAUGAUAGAAAUUUAAACACUUUUUAAAGUAUCAAUUGGAGGGCAAGUCUGGUGCCAGCAGCCGCGGUAAUUCCAGCUCCAAUAGCGUAUAUUAAAAUUGUUGCAGUUAAAAAGCUCGUAGUUGAAUUUCUGUUAAAAAUAACCGGUCUGCUUUUAAUAAAAGUGGUAUCUUGGUGUGUUUUUAGCAAUAAUGUCCUUUGAAAUGUUUUUUACUUUAUUGUAAUAAAUAAUAUUCAGGAUUUUUACUUUGAGAAAAUUAGAGUGUUUCUAGCAGGCUAACGCUUUGAAUA